CACGACCGGAGCCUAAGGCAGACGCUCAGCCAGAGUCACCCAGGUGCCCCUAUAUGAAUGCUUCCAGGGGAGAUACAAGACAAGUUUCUCUGAAAUGAACUCCACACAAGGGUCUUAUUCCAAGAGUACUCUCUGAACAUCUUCAUGCCUCAGGAUGGAUUUUACCAUCCCUUGAAAUAAACAGACACCUCCAGGGAAGCGAGUCUCUUACUAUCUUAAGUUUCAAGAUCAGGGACACCUGGGUGGCUCAGCGGUUUAGCAUCUGCCUUUGCCCCCGGAAUUCCGGAUCAAGUCCCGCAUUGGGCUCCUGUGUGGAGCCUGCCUCUCCCUCUGCCUGUGUCUCUGCCUCUCUCUGUGUGUCUCAUGAAUAAAUAAAAUCUUAAGAAAAAAAAAGUUUCAAGAUCAGACCUUCAACCCAGGCCCCAGAAAAAUUUGGAAAGCAGGGCUGGUGGUAGGGCGAGGGGUUGCCGCCAGUGGAAUGGAUCAGCAGUUAAAGGGAAGGCAGUUUCAGUGAAAGACAAGCCGGCUGGGUGACGGACAUCUGGAGGAGAACUGAAAUUGGUAAUGAAAUGGGAGAGGUGUUAUUAUAAAGGAAGAAGAAAUUCUAAAUAUUUGGUUUUAGAACUGGGUCUUGAUGGAGACACUGAGGAUUUGGAAGACUCUGGAAGAGAGUUGGAGAGACAUCUGACCGAGAAUAUAAAAUCGAAGAAUUAAGAGGGAGAAAGAAGCACAAAAUUCCCCUAGUUUCUGGAUGGCUGAAAUGUCUCCUUUGCAGAGGACACACAGUGUGACGGUUCCUGGGAACACACCAAUAUGGCCUCUGUAUUGCUCACACUAAGAUCCUGGCCGAGCAAAUAGAAGCCAAAACACACACCGAAGAAAGAAGACAAGGGACAUGAAGUGAAUGGAAUUAUUAAUGAAACUGUCUAUCCCAGUGCUACACAGAGAAAUUACAUGCAGUGUUUGUCCUUCCAGAUUAUGUAACCAGAGGACAGAAACCUGUGGUUCUAGGGUCUCUUCCUGAUUCCCAGACCUCUUCCCAGCGAAGAGUAGAGCAGAUUUGUCCGAAACCGUAACCAGAAGAUGAAUAAAAGUUGCCACAGAGUAAAUACCCUUUUGCCUUCCUUGAACAUUCCUGUUUAAUUUUCUCCAGGGCUGUAUUUUAGAAGGGAGAGUUGCAAGUUAGUUCCAUCCUCAGCACUGAUUCAUGGCAGUGAAAGUUCUACACUGCCCCCUUUAGGCCAAACUACCAAGAGCGGGAAACCAAAAUCAAAUGGGCUUGGAACAGUUUGCCAUAAGACAGCUUGUCCACAGGAAAAUCAUCGUAGUUAAAUAAAAUACAAUAAAAGCCACAAGUCUCUUCUGUUUGUGCACAUGAAUGUCUUAGAAACUGUAUGCCCUCCGGCAUCCUCUACAUAAUGCCCUCCCCUCCACACACAUACAUAGAGGCCCCAGGGAGCAUCUGAGCAUCCACUGGGUGGGGUUCCACUACAUACAGGACUCUGCUUCAGAUGCUUUGCAUGCAUCGUUUCAUUUUCUUUCCAAAAGAGCCUUGUAAAUUAGAUAAUCUCUUCCAUCCAAAUAAAGAAAUUGACACUUGGGUUAAGAAACUGGCUCAAACACACAGAGAUGUUAAACAGCACAAUCCAGAUUGAAAUCCCGAACUAUUGAA
Canis lupus familiaris (dog) is the source of this 1672-nucleotide long non-coding RNA. RefSeq lists it as uncharacterized. The record is from RefSeq and is a predicted model, not a curated record. The transcript has 3 exons. Lineage: Eukaryota; Metazoa; Chordata; Mammalia; Carnivora; Canidae.